Small nucleolar RNA from Pipistrellus kuhlii (Kuhl's pipistrelle), 119 nucleotides. RefSeq annotates it as small nucleolar RNA SNORD22. The transcript has a single exon. The record is from RefSeq and is a predicted model, not a curated record. Lineage: Eukaryota; Metazoa; Chordata; Mammalia; Chiroptera; Vespertilionidae.
UCCCAUUUAGGAAACAGGCAUGUGUCUUGCCUCUUGUCCUAGUCCCAGAGCCUGUAAAGGGGAGCCCACAGGGCUGGCUGGGGAAGAAGCAGAAAGUUUGUUGUAGAAGGAACAGGGAU